UGAGGAAUAUUGCAAAAUGGGCGAAAGCCCGAUGCAGCAACGCCGCGUGGGCGAUGAAGGCCUUCGGGUCGUAAAGCCCUUUUUGAGGGGAUGAGGAAGGACAGUACCCUCAGAAUAAGCCUCGGCUAACUACGUGCCAGCAGCCGCGGUAAAACGUAGGAGGCGAGCGUUAUCCGGAUUUACUGGGCGUAAAGCGCGUGCAGGCGGAUUGGAGAGUUGGAUGUGAAAGCUCCCGGCUUAACUGGGAGAGGUCGUUCAAUACUUCCAGUCUUGAGUGCAGUAGAGGGAAGUGGAAUUCCGGGUGUAGUGGUGAAAUGCGUAGAUAUCCGGAGGAACACCAGUGGCGAAAGCGGCUUCCUGGACUGUAACUGACGCUCAGACGCGAAAGCUAGGGUAGCAAACG
RNAcentral lists this ribosomal RNA (403 nucleotides) under uncultured bacterium. RNAcentral describes it as "bacterial SSU rRNA". It matches the Rfam family "Bacterial small subunit ribosomal RNA", at positions 355 to 774 of the family's 1533-position model. The record is from RNAcentral.